AUUUUUAUAGUAUAAUAAGUAUAAAUGACUUCCAAUCAUUAGGUCUAAUUUUUAGUAAAAAUA
Molecule: transfer RNA, 63 nt
Filed under: Pulex irritans
Lineage: Eukaryota; Metazoa; Arthropoda; Insecta; Siphonaptera; Pulicidae
Description: tRNA-Gly
Source: RNAcentral